Long non-coding RNA from Apis florea (little honeybee), 2841 nucleotides. NCBI's taxonomy places the organism in Eukaryota, Metazoa, Arthropoda, Insecta, Hymenoptera, Apidae. The record is from RefSeq and is a predicted model, not a curated record.
AAGAGGAAGAGAGUGCGCGCUAGCCAGCGAAAGCUUCGCGAGCGAAAGGGAGAAAGGAAGGAGUAAAGGAAGACAGAACGUUUACGAACGCGAUAGAGAGAGUGUGCGCAAGGUACGAGGGAGAACGAGUGAGAAAGCCGGAGCGUUGCGUGGGGAGCGAUCGCAGCUCGUCAUUCGAAGCCCGCCAACGGACGAGCGAGCAGCGACGGCACGGGACUGCGAUUGAAAGUACCCACGCGAUCUUCGCGAAAAUAAAGAGUACAGAUACAGGCUUACACCUGAGAUUAAAACAGGCGAGGAAUCACAUCGUGACAGAACAUCUAUUUAAACAGCAGUUACCGACUGUUUUGCGAUAGCAAAUCAAUCGCCGGUGUAACACGCUGGUUCGUACGGUCCACUCGAACGAAGCGCUCGUUUCUCGUUCGGUUCGCUUCGGUUACGAUCGUGUCGGCCGCAGUGCUUACGGUGUUCGUCUCGCGUGUUUUCAUUUCAGAGAGGGAGAGUGACAGCGAAAACAGUGGUGGAAAGAAAACAAAACUGUUGACAGUGAUUAAACGUGACUCCUGCAAAACAUCCUUAAAGGAUAUCUGUGCUGUGUGACAAUUUUCUCGUUCGAAAUAUCAGGAAAAACGAGAAUCCGAUCGUUCACAAGGACGAGUUGCAGAGAAGGAGCAGAGUGUAGUUUAUUCAUUGAAGCACUAGGGUGCGUGUUUCGUAUGUGCGAUUGAAAUCAGUACCGGUACAACAGCAUUACGCGAGACAUUGAUAAUCGAAUUUGUGCUUCGAUCAGUGUUCGUUAUUGCGGUUAAAAAAGUUCAUCGCGACUAUUUUUAUUCGUGGUCGGAUUGUGUUAUAGUGUCGUUUCGUGGUCGAUUUAAAACCGUUACAUUUUUUCGAAGUACAUCGAUAUUUCGAAGUGAAGCUGGUUCAAAUCAAUUGCAAAUCGUUCAUUCUAUGAGCUUGAAUGUAGAAGGAAUAUCAAAGUUACAAACAAUAACAGUACAAUUUGCCUAAAAUAAGUUAUAGAAUCAAAUUCUAGGAAUAUACAAAAAGAAAUAAACAUUCCAAGGAACGGAGACGCCAUUAAUCUAACAGACCUGAGGCUAUUGUAGCCAUUAUCUUGUAACGUACGACAUAUUUGAAAAAUUGAAAUCUUGUUUCGCGCGCAAACGGAAUAUCGUAUUGGUCGCUUUCGGAAAAAGUUGGAUUCUUCAAAUAUCUUUUUGAUCAACUACGAGAAAUAUACCAACGUUUAUUCCAAUAUAUCGAUAAAAGAAAUAAUAAAAUUUCUGGUAUAUGAAAGAAAAUACGUUUGGAAGAAAAUCUAUAUUCAAUUGUGUAUUAUUCCUGUGGAAAACGAUCGAAAGAAACAACUAAGGACUGAUUUGUGAUUGAACUAACCUUUUUUUCACUGUCUUCAUUGUCUGAAAAUUUAAAAGAAUUAUCAUCUUAAGAUAUAUAUUCCGAGUGUCAAUGUUUCGUCACGUUACGUUAAAAUUUUGACACUGAAUUCAACGGUGGCGCAGUAUUGAGGAAACCAAAGUUGCAUUUAGCAACUGAAAUUCAACUCCAAUGUUCUUCGUGUGCUGUCUAAUUCGGCGUCGUGUUUCGUGACAUUAUAGUCGCGUGUGUGCUACAUAGGUGCUCGUGGACGAAUGAUUUAUCGUACAAUCACGUGAAAAAAUAUAUUCGUGUGUGCAAAGAAAGCUUUUUUCCCAGUUGGAUUACAACGAAGCAACGACAUUGUGUUCUCUUCGUAGGAGUGGAAGGAUUUGCCGCGACCCCGUGAAUUCCGAAUUCGUCGUGUCGAUCGAGACAACAGACAGCGCGUGGCCAAUUACUCGCAUCGUUACAAGCAUCAAUUGAUUAAUUAACACCUUAAUUAAUUCGUUCGAUCGGUUUUAACUUUUCGACACCGUUGCUGCUCUCGUGUCUACACUUUUUUAACGUUUUUGUCCGUUUUCACGAAUUUAUCAAGAUCGUAUCGCGAUCGUAAUUGAUAGUAAUCGGAAUUUCUCUCAUUUUACACGCCAACGCCGGAAAAUUGAUUACACGCGAUUCAACGUUCGCGGCGAUUAAUUCCAGUUUUGAUUGUCAACGUUUUCUCGAGUUCGAUUUUCAUCGUAUAGGCAGGAUCUAUUCUACAUAGAUCCUUUGUCCGAUUAAACCGGGAUUACGUGCUAGUUCGUGGAGGCAAUCGGUCUGUAAUUGUGCCACGCGUACGGUUAAUCGCUUGUCUACGCGAAGAACAAUAAACGGUGGUGUUUACGUGACGAAAGUGCAGACGCAGCCCACUCGGUCACUUGCAAAAAGUGACCCAUAGUUUUCUCCUGGAAGUGGUACACAAACGGCCUCAAGAUUCAGCUGGACAUCAUGCCUUGGUUCAUCCUAUUUCUUCUUCUGUUAGCUGUGAUGGAGGCCUUCCCUCGGGAGGCCACCUGUUCCCGCCUGCCGGACAUCUACUGGAACUCCACCAAUCCAAUGUGAGUAAGCAGCACCGAUUAUCACUUUUUCUUCCCGACAACGAGUAAUUAAGUCCGUGUACCAGUUUACCUCCGUCCUCGUCGCGUCCUUUAGCACGUAAGUAGCGCAGCACCAUCCUUAUUAACGCCGUCAUUAAAGAGCGGAGGGGCAUUAAGGCGUCGACAAAAUGGUGAGGCGUAUCAAUAAUGAACCCGCUUUUCGGGUUGAGAGACUUUGAACGAGGAAAAAUGAUCUUCGUUAAGUGACGAUCUCUGCUCUUUUUUCGCUGGAAAAAAAAAAUCUUCGUCGUAAAUUAAUUGAAAUUACCCGGGACAAGAACAAUAAACACUGUAUCCUAAUUUUUUAAAGGCUGUAAAA